Dermochelys coriacea (leatherback sea turtle) is the source of this 1667-nucleotide long non-coding RNA. RefSeq lists it as uncharacterized. NCBI's taxonomy places the organism in Eukaryota, Metazoa, Chordata, Testudines, Dermochelyidae. The transcript is spliced from 2 exons. The record is from RefSeq and is a predicted model, not a curated record.
CUGGCUGUGCUGAAGGAGGGAGAAGAGAUAGUACCAUGAUCAGAGCAGUUCUGGGUGGGGUCAGGGGAGCAUGAGUGAGCUCCCAGAUGACUGCUGCUAGACUGAGGUCCUGAUAUAAGGGUGGGCUGUGUCCAGAUGUAGUCCUGAGAGCAACAUGAUUCUCGAUGACAGAAGCGACGGCAGUGAGACGCCACUAGAUGAGGGUGCACUGGUGAACCAAAGCUAAUUCCCAGGAUAGCCAGCAGGAGGUGCUGCAGUGGGGAGAUGUAGCAGAACUGAAGACUGAGAAAUUGCUGUAUUUCAUUUCACACAUUAUAGGAAAUAGCUGCACACCCAUGUCCCCCAGCAUAGCUUGCAAAUCCCUUGCAGUCCUGCAGCAUUUCUGGGAGAACCAUCCUAGUGAAUAACUUCCUGAUGCAUCUCAUUGGUCUGCCCUUUGCCUUUUUGAAUAAGACCGUUCUCUGCUCCUAGCCAGCUGCAUCAGCAGAACGUCAAAGUCAUGACAGCUUAAACAGGAUGUAGAGGGGAUUAUACACCAGGUCACACUACCUGCCACCCUCCCUGCAACUCUGACACUCUAGAAGCUCCUCCAGUGCACAAACAAAACUGCAAAACUAAAACAGGACCAUAAUUCCAAUCCUACCCACCCCCACAAUUUUCCUAACCGCAGGCAAAUCCUUGUGAACCCAGUACCUCCUGACAUACACACUGCUUGUCUCUGAGGUUUCCCCAGGACUGGGAAGAAUCUGAGGAAAGUAGAAAUCACAUUCAUAUUUAAAACAAUGCUGUCAUGGCCUGUCUGGAAUAUGAAUAAGCAAUUUUGUUUGCCAUAUUCCCACAUCCAUAACACAUGCAAUGGCCAUAUUGUCAAGAACAGAGCUUCUAACUCCUGCUGAGAGGCCGGCCAACCUAAGGGCAUGAAAAAGGAACACUUGGGACAAGAUCUUUGCCAUACUUGUGGCAGAGUCCUAGAGGAAAACCAAACUGACUGAGAGCUGCACACAGUCCACAGAUGAAGAAAGAAAUGCAGCUCUCCCAGGAGAUCAUCGCUGUAGCCAGGGAUGGCAAGGAAAGAGACAGGGAGAUGCAGAGACUACCCUGACCCUGAAUGCUCUCCUCUAAAACAGGCUCCUGCUAGGCCAAUAGGUCCUGCUGUCCCAUAGUGUGGGACCCAGCCAUGUCCUUCAGCCCUUGACAAUACUAGCUACUGGGACCUGCAACAAAAUCCUCCAGUCUGCACCUCCACAACAAUUCUACCAGCUGCCAUUCCCCUCUCAGAGCCAACCCCUGGGCACCAAGAACACUGGCUCCUGGAAGCCCAGCACUUUUGAGUCCAGCAGUGGCCCUGACAAUUUUGAGCUGCAGCACUCAACCGCAGAGCCCAUGUGGACAAGAAGAGGCAGAGGGAAGGCACAUAGUCCCCUGUGAUUUUAAGCACCCCCGCUCUGCCCUUGCACCACACAUCUUAUUCUGUUUGUACUGUUUCAUUUUCAGUUUUGCUUGUAUUGUUGCUUUAAUGAAAGGCUUGUUUAUAGGUGGUUAGUAAAUAGAUUGUUUUGUUAAAUGGAUUUUCACAUUAAAAAUCAUUGCUUUUCCAGGGAUUCAAUUAAAACUUUCUUUCAUUUUGUCAUUGUUUUUUCAUAAUAAACUGUGUAUAAUUCAGCCAU